This 78-nucleotide transfer RNA is filed under the name Camelus bactrianus (Bactrian camel). It matches the Rfam family "tRNA". From Rfam's summary of the family: Transfer RNA (tRNA) molecules are approximately 80 nucleotides in length. Their secondary structure includes four short double-helical elements and three loops (D, anti-codon, and T loops). The record is from Rfam by way of RNAcentral. Lineage: Eukaryota; Metazoa; Chordata; Mammalia; Artiodactyla; Camelidae. RNAcentral also lists the same sequence under 1 other name.
GGGGACAUAGCUCAGUGGUAGAGUGUGUGCCUGGCAUGUACGUGCAUGAGGUCCUGGGUUCAAUCUCCAGGGCCUUCG